This 192-nucleotide ribosomal RNA is filed under the name uncultured actinomycete. RNAcentral describes it as "partial 16S ribosomal RNA". It matches the Rfam family "Bacterial small subunit ribosomal RNA", at positions 590 to 779 of the family's 1533-position model. The record is from RNAcentral. Lineage: Bacteria; Bacillati; Actinomycetota; Actinomycetes; Actinomycetales.
UGCCUUGAAAACCUGCGGCUUAACCGUGGGCGUGCGGUGGAUACGGGCACACUUGAGUUCGGUAGGGGAGACUGGAAUUCCUGGUGUAGCGGUGGAAUGCGCAGAUAUCAGGAGGAACACCAGUGGCGAAGGCGGGUCUCUGGGCCGAAACUGACGCUGAGGAUGCUAAAGCGUGGGGAGCGAACACGGAUU